ACCAUUACUUCAAUGCAUUCAACUAAAUAAUGUCAAUUGAAAUAGUCAUAUUAUUAGUUAUUUAAACAAUAGAUUCAAACUCUUUUAAACGUUAUGCAUGAAUAAUAAAUGAUAGUGAACUAUCGUUAUGCUGCCAGAGAAUAAUAUAUUAUGUGCUUUCGCAACAUCAUAAUUGGCGGUCCAGGCGGCGGUGGUGGAAAUUGUUGUGCGCCCUGCGAGUAUUGCUGCCGCUGUUGUUGCCAGUGCUGCGUGCAAGUCCUCUGCAAGAUUUGUUGUUGCGUUUUGAUUGUCGCUUUAAUACUAGGCGCUCUUUAUUUGCUUGCCGAAGCCUUGAUCUGCCCCGAGCAGGAUGAAAAGAAACCUUGACAUUUCGAAAAUGAGAGUUGGCGCAACGUGUUUGUGAGUUCAGAAGCAUUGAACGUUGGGGCCCAGCUGGCUAUUUGUGUACUUGUUUUAGUAGUAGGCAUUUUUGCUUUACUAUUUUUGUUUGCCGCCGGCGUAAUAUAGCAUGCAUUGGCCAAAGAAACUCUUGGGUAUUAAAGAAACUCAGCGAGAAACGAAUUCGGACAACGUAGCUCUUCCACAAUCGACUAUUUGUGAAACUUGUGUUUUUUAUUGGACACUGUUUUAUUAUAAUUAUAUUUUAAUUAUGUAUGGACUGUUCUACAGAAGAAUAAAUUUUAUUUUGCAAACAAAGUUCUCGAUGUA
This is a long non-coding RNA of Bombyx mori (domestic silkworm), 708 nucleotides long. RefSeq lists it as uncharacterized. The transcript is spliced from 5 exons. The record is from RefSeq and is a predicted model, not a curated record. Lineage: Eukaryota; Metazoa; Arthropoda; Insecta; Lepidoptera; Bombycidae.